This 229-nucleotide ribosomal RNA is filed under the name uncultured bacterium. Its description in RNAcentral is "partial 16S ribosomal RNA". It matches the Rfam family "Bacterial small subunit ribosomal RNA", at positions 109 to 339 of the family's 1533-position model. The record is from RNAcentral.
AGUAACACGUGAGUAACCUGCCCUUGACUCUGGGAUAAGCCUGGGAAACUGGGUCUAAUACCGGAUAGGAACGUCCACCGCAUGGUGGUUGUUGGAAAGAUUUAUCGGUCAUGGAUGGACUCGCGGCCUAUCAGCUUGUUGGUGAGGUAAUGGCUCACCAAGGCGACGACGGGUAGCCGGCCUGAGAGGGUGACCGGCCACACUGGGACUGAGACACGGCCCAGACUCC